This 445-nucleotide ribosomal RNA is filed under the name Pristaulacus sp. DERV021. Its description in RNAcentral is "partial 16S ribosomal RNA". The record is from RNAcentral. Lineage: Eukaryota; Metazoa; Arthropoda; Insecta; Hymenoptera; Aulacidae.
AUCAAAAACAUGUCUUUUUGAAAAAAAUUUAAAGUCUGGUCUGCUCAAUGAAAAUUUAAAUGGCUGCAGAAAAUUAACUGUACAAAGGUAGCAUAAUCAAUAGUUAUUUAAUUGAUAACUGGAAUGAAAGAUUAGAUGAAAUAUUUACUUUUUUAUUUUUAAAAAUUUAAUUUUUUUAUUAAGUAAAAAUACUUAAAUAAUUUUAAGGGACGAGAAGACCCUAUAAAACUUUAUAAUAAUUUAAUAAAAAAGAUAAAUAUUUUUUAAUUAUUAAAGAAUUAUUUUAUUGGGGAAAUAAUAAAAUUUAAUAAAUUUUUAUAUAAAUAAAACAAAGAUUUUUGAAUUUUAAAAUGUUUAUAAAAGAAAAAGAAUAAGUUACUUUAGGGAUAACAGCGAAAUAAUUUUUAAAGUACAUAUUAAAAAAAUUGUUUUCGACCUCGAUGUU